RNAcentral lists this ribosomal RNA (253 nucleotides) under uncultured bacterium. RNAcentral's name for it is "partial 16S ribosomal RNA". It matches the Rfam family "Bacterial small subunit ribosomal RNA", at positions 524 to 776 of the family's 1533-position model. The record is from RNAcentral.
UACAGAGGGUGCGAGCGUUGUUCGGAAUCAUUGGGCGUAAAGCGCUUGUAGGCGGCUUGUUAAGUCGCGUGUGAAAUCCCUUGGCUCAACCAAGGAAGUGCGCGCGAAACUGGCGAGCUCGAGUGCCGGAGAGGGUCGCGGAAUUCCCGGUGUAGAGGUGAAAUUCGUAGAUAUCGGGAGGAACACCAGUGGCGAAGGCGGCGACCUGGACGGACACUGACGCUGAGACGCGAAAGCGUGGGUAGCAAACAGG